UGAACGACUCUCGGCAACGGAUAUCUCGGCUCACGCAUCGAUGAAGAACGUAGCAAAAUGCGAUACUUGGUGUGAAUUGCAGAAUCCCGUGAACCAUCGAGUUUUUGAACGCAAGUUGCGCCCGAAGCCACCCGGCCGAGGGCACGCCUGCCUGGGCGUCACGC
RNAcentral lists this ribosomal RNA (164 nucleotides) under Chuquiraga aurea. RNAcentral's name for it is "5.8S ribosomal RNA". It matches the Rfam family "5.8S ribosomal RNA". From Rfam's summary of the family: 5.8S ribosomal RNA (5.8S rRNA) is a component of the large subunit of the eukaryotic ribosome. It is transcribed by RNA polymerase I as part of the 45S precursor that also contains 18S and 28S rRNA. Lineage: Eukaryota; Viridiplantae; Streptophyta; Magnoliopsida; Asterales; Asteraceae. The record is from RNAcentral. RNAcentral also lists the same sequence under 1 other name.